CAAUAGCGUAUAUUAAAGUUGUUGCGGUUAAAAAGCUCGUAGUUGGAUUUCUGUUGGGAACGACCGGUCCGCCCAUUGGGUGUGUAUCUGGCUUGUUCUCGGCAUCUUCUUGGUGAACGUUGCUGCACUUGACUGUGUGGAGCGCUACCCAGGACUUUUACUUUGAGGAAAUUAGAGUGUUUCAAGCAGGCAUAUGCCUUGAAUACAUUAGCAUGGAAUAAUAAGAUAGGACCUCGGUUCUAUUUUGUUGGUUUCUAGAGCUGAGGUAAUGAUUAAUAGGGAUAGUUGGGGGCAUUCGUAUUUAACUGUCAGAGGUGAAAUUCUUGGAUUUGUUAAAGACGGACCACUGCGAAAGCAUUUGCCAAGGAUGUUUUCAUUGA
RNAcentral lists this ribosomal RNA (380 nucleotides) under uncultured eukaryote. Its description in RNAcentral is "partial 18S ribosomal RNA". It matches the Rfam family "Eukaryotic small subunit ribosomal RNA", at positions 592 to 976 of the family's 1831-position model. The record is from RNAcentral.